RNAcentral lists this ribosomal RNA (874 nucleotides) under uncultured archaeon. RNAcentral's name for it is "bacterial SSU rRNA". It matches the Rfam family "Archaeal small subunit ribosomal RNA", at positions 5 to 879 of the family's 1478-position model. The record is from RNAcentral.
CGGUUGAUCCUGCCGGAGGUUACUACUAUCGGAGUUCGAUUAAGCCAUGCGAGUCUAAAGGUUUCUUCGGAAGCCUUGGCGGACUGCUCAGUAACACGUGGAUAACCUACCCUUGGGACUGGAAUAACCCCGGGAAACUGGGGAUAAUACCGGAUAGAUCAGGGAUGCUGGAAUGCACCUUGAUCCAAAGCUCCGGCGCCCAAGGAUGGGUCUGCGGCCUAUCAGGUUGUAGUGGGUGUAACGUACCUACUAGCCGACGACGGGUACGGGUUGUGAGAGCAAGAGCCCGGAGAUGGAUUCUGAGACACGAAUCCAGGCCCUACGGGGUGCAGCAGGCGCGAAACCUUUACAAUGUGCGAAAGCAUGAUAAGGGAACUCCGAGUGCCAGUAUCUAAUACUGGCUGUCCUUGUGCCUAAACCGCACAAGAUAGCAAGGGCCGGGUAAGACCGGUGCCAGCCGCCGCGGUAACACCGGCGGCCCGAGUGGUAGCCGCUAUUAUUGGGUCUAAAGGGUCCGUAGCCGGUUCGAUAAGUCCUCUGGGAAAUCUGGUUGCUUAACAAUCAGACUGCCAAGGGAUACUGUUGAACUUGAGACCGGGAGAGGUAAGAGGUACUUCAGGGGUAGGAGUGAAAUCUUGUAAUCCCUGGGGGACCAUCUGUGGCGAANGCGUCUUACCAGAACGGGUCUGACGGUGAGGGACGAAAGCUGGGGGCGCAAACCGGAUUANGUACCCGGGUAGUCCCAGCCGUAAACGAUGCUCGCUAUGUGUCNGNACGGUGUGACCGUAUCUGGUGCCGUAGGGAAGCCGUGAAGCGAGCCACCUGGGAAGUACGGUCGCAAGACUGAAACUUAAAGGAAUUGGCGGGGGAGCAC